This 22-nucleotide small nuclear RNA is filed under the name Arabidopsis thaliana (thale cress). Its description in RNAcentral is "snRNA_07041". Lineage: Eukaryota; Viridiplantae; Streptophyta; Magnoliopsida; Brassicales; Brassicaceae. The record is from RNAcentral.
UUAUUCCGAUCCCGAGUUGGGA